ACUGGUUCCUGUUUUUGUUUUCAGGAGGUAUGAGUUUCAUCCUGUCUGUGCUGAUCUGCAGGCCAAAAUUCUCCAGUGUUACCGCCAGAACACCCAGCAGACCCUCAGCUGCUCUGCUCUGGCCAACCAGUACAUGCGCUGUGUCAAUCAGGCCAAACAGAGCAUGCUUGAGAAGGGAGGAUAAAGUCAACUUUUCGAACAAGCAGAACUCCUCAACGUUAAUUCCAGAGGCGGAACAUUUUUUUUUCCUAGUAAGAAAGUAACCCAUUUAAGGAGAAGACGAUUAAAGAGAAGCACCAAAGAGCAGAUCCAGCUGAAGCAUAUCCCAGUUUGAUCAACUGCAGUUUGAAAAGCCAAGGUCUAGAUCAGGUAUCAGCCAGCAAGGACACACUGCAGUGUUAGUCAACCCUGUUCAUGAUGAUUAAAAGAGAAAGGCAGCCCUCUCCACCUUUCCGACUUUCUAUUCAACUCUUUCUUCUCACAAGCUCCAGGGUUGGGUGAAUCUUCAUUCCAGCAGAGCUGGGGCAGGGGGUUGGGAUGGGGGCUAAGGUUUUUGGAGUGGGGUGGGGAGAGGGCACCAUACCUCCCCCAGCAGUGCUGGGUCAUCUAGGCUCUGGCGUGUUGGUUUCUCUUUUUCUUUUCUCCCUUGACUAUAUAAGAGCUGCUUCAUUUUAACUUAUUAUGGUGAUCAUAUAAGUAAGACAAAAAGGAGAGAAAAAUGUACCUCUUUUACUGGAAUAAUGUUUAUGAUUACAAGUGAAAUAAGGCAUUUUUUUAUCAAACAUAAAGGCAACCUUGGCUUAUACAACCUCUUCUCUAUCAUGAAUACUGACAUCUUUACUGCACUCACUAUCAAUAAUAAAUAUAUUUUCCGAAGAAGACUGGC
Ailuropoda melanoleuca (giant panda) is the source of this 886-nucleotide RNA transcript. RefSeq lists it as uncharacterized. The transcript is spliced from 2 exons. The record is from RefSeq and is a predicted model, not a curated record. Lineage: Eukaryota; Metazoa; Chordata; Mammalia; Carnivora; Ursidae.